CCAGAGAACUUAGCAGAGAUGCUUUGGUGCCUUCGGGAACUCUGAGACAGGUGCUGCAUGGCUGUCGUCAGCUCGUGUUGUGAAAUGUUGGGUUAAGUCCCGCAACGAGCGCAACCCUUAUCCUUUGUUGCCAGCGGCUCGGCCGGGAACUCAAAGGAGACUGCCGGUGAUAAACCGGAGGAAGGUGGGGAUGACGUCAAGUCAUCAUGGCCCUUACGGCCAGGGCUACACACGUGCUACAAUGGCGCAUACAAAGAGAAGCGACCUCGCGAGAGCAAGCGGACCUCACAAAGUGCGUCGUAGUCCGGAUUGGAGUCUGCAACUCGACUCCAUGAAGUCGGAAUCGCUAGUAAUCGUAGAUCAGAAUGCUACGGUGAAUACGUUCCCGGGCCUUGUACACACCGCCCGUCGCACCAUGGGAGUGGGUUGCAAAAGAAGUAGGUAGCUUAACCUUCGGGAGGGCGCUUACCACUUUGUGAUUCAUGACUGGGGUGAAGUCGUAACAAGGUAAGCGUAGCGAG
This 521-nucleotide ribosomal RNA is filed under the name uncultured bacterium. Its description in RNAcentral is "bacterial SSU rRNA". It matches the Rfam family "Bacterial small subunit ribosomal RNA", at positions 988 to 1509 of the family's 1533-position model. The record is from RNAcentral.